RNAcentral lists this ribosomal RNA (445 nucleotides) under uncultured bacterium. RNAcentral's name for it is "partial 16S ribosomal RNA". It matches the Rfam family "Bacterial small subunit ribosomal RNA", at positions 354 to 796 of the family's 1533-position model. The record is from RNAcentral.
GUGAGGAAUAUUGCGCAAUGGAGGCAACUCUGACGCAGCCAUGCCGCGUGCAGGAAGAAGGCGCUACGCGUUGUAAACUGCUUUUAACCGGGAAGAAACCCCAGGACGUGUCCUGGGUUGACGGUACCGGAGGAAUAAGCACCGGCUAACUUCGUGCCAGCAGCCGCGGUAAUACGAAGGGUGCAAGCGUUAUCCGGAUUCAUUGGGUUUAAAGGGUGCGUAGGCGGAGCGUUGAGUCAGUGGUGAAGUCCUGCAGCUUAACUGUAGACUUGCCAUUGAUACUGGCGCUCUUGAGUGCGCUUGAAGUGGGCGGAAUGUGCCGUGUAGCGGUGAAAUGCUUAGAUAUGGCACAGAACACCAAUUGCGAAGGCAGCUCACUAAGGCGAUACUGACGCUGAGGCACGAAAGCGUGGGGAUCGAACAGGAUUAGAAACCCCUGUAGUCC